AAAGGAAUUGACGGGGGCCCGCACAAGCGGUGGAGUAUGUGGUUUAAUUCGAGGCAACGCGAAGAACCUUACCAGGUCUUGACAUGGAGCUAAAGGCCCUAGAGAUAGGGAGAUAGUUAUAGCUCACACAGGUGGUGCAUGGUUGUCGUCAGCUCGUGUCGUGAGAUGUUGGGUUAAGUCCCGCAACGAGCGCAACCCUUGUCGUUAGUUACCAUCAUUUAGUUGGGGACUCUAGCGAGACUGCCGGUGACAAACCGGAGGAAGGUGGGGAUGACGUCAAAUCAUCAUGCCCCUUAUGACCUGGGCUACACACGUACUACAAUGGCGAGUACAACGGGAAGCGAUGUGGUGACACAAAGCGGAUCUCUUAAAACUCGUCUCAGUUCGGAUCGAAGUCUGCAACUCGACUUCGUGAAGUCGGAAUCGCUAGUAAUCGCGGAUCAGCAUGCCGCGGUGAAUACGUUCUCGGGCCUUGCACACACCGCCCGU
This 489-nucleotide ribosomal RNA is filed under the name uncultured bacterium. RNAcentral describes it as "bacterial SSU rRNA". It matches the Rfam family "Bacterial small subunit ribosomal RNA", at positions 903 to 1397 of the family's 1533-position model. The record is from RNAcentral.